RNAcentral lists this ribosomal RNA (253 nucleotides) under uncultured bacterium. Its description in RNAcentral is "partial 16S ribosomal RNA". It matches the Rfam family "Bacterial small subunit ribosomal RNA", at positions 524 to 776 of the family's 1533-position model. The record is from RNAcentral.
UACGUAGGGUGCGAGCGUUGUCCGGAAUUAUUGGGCGUAAAGAGCUCGUAGGCGGUUUGUCGCGUCGACUGUGAAAACCCGAGGCUUAACCUCGGGCCUGCAGUCGAUACGGGCAGACUAGAGUUCGGUAGGGGAGACUGGAAUUCCCAGUGUAGCGGUGAAAUGCGCAGAUAUGAGGAGGAACACCGAUGGCGAAGGCAGGUCUCUGGGCCACUACUGACGCUGAGAAGCGAAAGCAUGGGGAGCGAACAGG